GUAGGUGGCAAGCGUUGUCCGGAAUUAUUGGGCGUAAAGCGCGCGCAGGCGGUUCUUUAAGUCUGAUGUGAAAGCCCACGGCUCAACCGUGGAGGGUCAUUGGAAACUGGAGAACUUGAGUACAGAAGAGGAAAGCGGAAUUCCACGUGUAGCGGUGAAAUGCGUAGAGAUGUGGAGGAACACCAGUGGCGAAGGCGGCUUUCUGGUCUGUAACUGACGCUGAGGCGCGAAAGCGUGGGGAGCAAACAGGGAUUAGAUACCCAGGUAGUCCACGCCGUAAACGAUGAGUGCUAAGGGUUAGGGGGUUUCCCGCCCCUUAGUGCUGCAGCUAACGCAUUAAGCACUCCGCCUGGGGAGUACGGCCGCAAGGCUG
Molecule: ribosomal RNA, 373 nt
Filed under: uncultured organism
Description: partial 16S ribosomal RNA
Rfam family: Bacterial small subunit ribosomal RNA
Source: RNAcentral